ACGGGAGGCAGCAGUGGGGAAUAUUGCACAAUGGGGGAAACCCUGAUGCAGCAACGCCGCGUGAAGGAUGAAGGCCCUUGGGUCGUAAACUUCUGUUCUAAGGGAAGAUAAUGACGGUACCUUAGGAGCAAGUCCCGGCUAACUACGUGCCAGCAGCCGCGGUAAUACGUAGGGAGCAAGCGUUAUCCGGAUUUACUGGGUGUAAAGGGCGUGUAGGCGGGACAUCAAGUCAGAUGUGAAAGCACGAGGCUCAACUUCGUGUCUGCAUUUGAAACUGACGUUCUUGAGUGUUGGAGAGGCUAACGGAACUCCUAGUGUAGCGGUGAAAUGCGUAGAUAUUAGGAAGAACACCAGUGGCGAAGGCGGUUAGCUGGACAAUAACUGACGCUGAGGCGCGAAAGCGUGGGUAGCAAACAGGAUUAGAUACCCUGGUA
RNAcentral lists this ribosomal RNA (434 nucleotides) under uncultured Oscillospiraceae bacterium. RNAcentral describes it as "bacterial SSU rRNA". It matches the Rfam family "Bacterial small subunit ribosomal RNA", at positions 341 to 792 of the family's 1533-position model. Lineage: Bacteria; Bacillati; Bacillota; Clostridia; Eubacteriales; Oscillospiraceae. The record is from RNAcentral.